GAUUAUAUGUAACGCCUCAUAUUAUGAGGCACUUUCCAAGCUUUAUCUUCUGCGGUACAAACGAUCAUCACUGCAAAAUGGCCGAGAGGAUUAUCGCCGAGGUCCACUGGCAAGGACUACACGGCCAACCAAAUUCGACGUACAGGGAGAUGCCUAACGAGGGUUCGGCUCUCCAACCGGGUGAAGUUUGCCAUGCAGCCAAAUUACGAAGGCGGCGUCCAAGAAAUCGGAUUUGAACCAGUUGAAAUUGGUCAAGAGAGUGACUCGUCAGCAGCAGUUUCAAAAUGCAGAUAAGUAUUGGAAUCAAAUUGCAAAAGCAGCAUCAGGUGAAAGGAGGGAACUAGCUCCAGAAAAGAAAACAAGUCGAAUGCUCAUGAGAAUUAGCCCGAAUAGGUCCGAAAUCCAGCAAAGACUGGAAUGGAAAUAAGAGCUGUAUGCAGCAGACUGAAGUCAUCAUGGAAUCGAAUCAGCACCAAGGGUAAGAACCGACCAAGUCCUGACUACCAAGUCCCUCGAAAGAAUCAUCAAGAAGUCUUACUACAGAAAAUCUAUCCACUCUCUGACUUGCCAGUGUUUAUCCAGGUCUUCCAAAUCUUACAUUUACAGAGCGCUGAAAUUUUGUAACCAUAUCUUAUCAGUAGUUAACAAUACAUUAGUGCCAGCCAACAGCCGAUUCCUCCUGAGUACGUCUCUUCAUCUUGAUUACUCAUUCCUGGGUGUCAACUUUCUGCGGAAUUCUCCCAGAAGACAUAAAUAUAUUUCAUUCCUGGGCACCUGUUGGGAUGAACUUUCACAUUCACAUGUCAGCUUUCCAGAUGCACCUUCGCAUUCCGAUGCCUAAUGGACGUCUCGAAUCCGUCCCUGCAGUUUAUCGGUUUUAUUAAUGUUUACCUUGUAUGGUAUUGUAAACAGUAUCACCUUAGUAUUUAUUUCAGUUUGAUUUAUUUCAUUUUAUUUUAACAUUGCUAUAUGGUCAUGGAACAAGGAAUUACAUUACUUGAAUAGUAAUUAUAUUCACUGAUCAGUAAUAAUAAUAAUAAUAGUAACUGCAUAUUGUGCAAGUUAAAAAUUGUUAAUACUGGCAGGGAACGGAAAAGAUGAGAGCCAUGGCUAU
Molecule: long non-coding RNA, 1114 nt
Organism: Schistocerca gregaria
Lineage: Eukaryota; Metazoa; Arthropoda; Insecta; Orthoptera; Acrididae
Exons: 3
Source: RefSeq, a predicted model, not a curated record